This 429-nucleotide ribosomal RNA is filed under the name Actinomycetes bacterium. RNAcentral describes it as "Actinobacteria bacterium partial 16S ribosomal RNA". It matches the Rfam family "Bacterial small subunit ribosomal RNA", at positions 355 to 776 of the family's 1533-position model. The record is from RNAcentral. Lineage: Bacteria; Bacillati; Actinomycetota; Actinomycetes.
UAGGGAAUCUUCCGCAAUGGGCGAAAGCCUGACGGAGCAACGCCGCGUGAGUGAUGAAGGUCUUCGGAUCGUAAAACUCUGUUAUUAGGGAAGAACAAAUGUGUAAGUAACUAUGCACGUCUUGACGGUACCUAAUCAGAAAGCCACGGCUAACUACGUGCCAGCAGCCGCGGUAAUACGUAGGUGGCAAGCGUUAUCCGGAAUUAUUGGGCGUAAAGCGCGCGUAGGCGGUUUUUUAAGUCGGAUGUGAAAGCCCACGGCUCAACCGGGGAGGGUCAUUGGAAACUGGAAAACUUGAGUGCAGAAGAGGAAAGUGGAAUUCCAUGUGUAGCGGUGAAAUGCGCAGAGAUAUGGAGGAACACCAGUGGCGAAGGCGACUUUCUGGUCUGUAACUGACGCUGAUGUGCGAAAGCGUGGGGAUCAAACAGG